Molecule: ribosomal RNA, 758 nt
Filed under: uncultured Enterobacteriaceae bacterium
Lineage: Bacteria; Pseudomonadati; Pseudomonadota; Gammaproteobacteria; Enterobacterales; Enterobacteriaceae
Description: SSU rRNA
Rfam family: Bacterial small subunit ribosomal RNA
Source: RNAcentral
GAGAGCUUGCUCUCGGGUGACGAGCGGCGGACGGGUGAGUAAUGUCUGGGAAACUGCCUGAUGGAGGGGGAUAACUACUGGAAACGGUAGCUAAUACCGCAUAACGUCGCAAGACCAAAGUGGGGGACCUUCGGGCCUCAUGCCAUCAGAUGUGCCCAGAUGGGAUUAGCUAGUAGGUGGGGUAACGGCUCACCUAGGCGACGAUCCCUAGCUGGUCUGAGAGGAUGACCAGCCACACUGGAACUGAGACACGGUCCAGACUCCUACGGGAGGCAGCAGUGGGGAAUAUUGCACAAUGGGCGCAAGCCUGAUGCAGCCAUGCCGCGUGUGUGAAGAAGGCCUUCGGGUUGUAAAGCACUUUCAGCGGGGAGGAAGGCGUUAAGGUUAAUAACCUUGGCGAUUGACGUUACCCGCAGAAGAAGCACCGGCUAACUCCGUGCCAGCAGCCGCGGUAAUACGGAGGGUGCAAGCGUUAAUCGGAAUUACUGGGCGUAAAGCGCACGCAGGCGGUCUGUCAAGUCGGAUGUGAAAUCCCCGGGCUCAACCUGGGAACUGCAUUCGAAACUGGCAGGCUAGAGUCUUGUAGAGGGGGGUAGAAUUCCAGGUGUAGCGGUGAAAUGCGUAGAGAUCUGGAGGAAUACCGGUGGCGAAGGCGGCCCCCUGGACAAAGACUGACGCUCAGGUGCGAAAGCGUGGGGAGCGAACAGGAUUAGAUACCCUGGUAGUCCACGCCGUAAACGAUGUCGAUUUGGAGGUUG